GAUGAACGCUAGCGGCAGGCUUAAUACAUGCAAGUCGAGGGGCAUCAAGGUACACGAAAGUGUAUUGUUGGCGACCGGCGGACGGGUGAGUAAUAGGUAGGUAACCUACCUCAUACUGAGGCAUAGCUGGGAGAAAUUCCAGGUAAUUCCUCAUGAGGUUAUAUGACACAUGUGAUAUAAUCAAAGGUAUCGCAAGGUACUGGUAUGAGAUGGGCUUACUGACCAUUAGCUAGUUGGUGAGAUAAGAGCUCACCAAGGCGAAGAUGGUUAGGGGUUUUGAGAGAGAGAUCCCCCACAUUGGAACUGAGAUACGGUCCAGACUCCUACGGGAGGCAGCAGUAGGGAAUAUUGGGCAAUGGGCGGAAGCCUGACCCAGCCAUGCCGCGUGAAGGAAGACGGCCUUAUGGGUUGUAAACUUCUUUUACUAUGCGACUAACUAGAUUUACGAGAUAAUUCUAUAGAAUGUAGCAUAGCAAAAAGCACCGG
RNAcentral lists this ribosomal RNA (486 nucleotides) under uncultured bacterium. RNAcentral's name for it is "bacterial SSU rRNA". It matches the Rfam family "Bacterial small subunit ribosomal RNA", at positions 28 to 496 of the family's 1533-position model. The record is from RNAcentral.